This 591-nucleotide ribosomal RNA is filed under the name uncultured Acidobacteriota bacterium. RNAcentral's name for it is "bacterial SSU rRNA". It matches the Rfam family "Bacterial small subunit ribosomal RNA", at positions 38 to 658 of the family's 1533-position model. The record is from RNAcentral. Lineage: Bacteria; Pseudomonadati; Acidobacteriota.
GGCGGCGCGCCUAACACAUGCAAGUCGAACGAGAAAGCAGGAGCAAUCCUGUGAGUAAAGUGGCGUACGGGUGAGUAACACGUGGAUUAUCUACCUUCUAGUGGGGGAUAACCCUGGGAAACCGGGGCUAAUACCGCAUAAGUUCGAGAGAAGAAAGCAGCAAUGCGCUGGAAGAGGAGUCCGCGGCCGAUUAUGUUAGUUGGCAGGGUAAAAGCCUACCAAGACUACGAUCGGUAGCCGGCCUGAGAGGGCACACGGCCACACUGGCACUGAAACACGGGCCAGACUCCUACGGGAGGCAGCAGUGGGGAAUCUUGCACAAUGGGGGAAACCCUGAUGCAGCGACGCCGCGUGAGCGAUGAAGCCCUUCGGGGUGUAAAGCUCUUUCGGCAGGGACGAUUAUGACGGUACCUGCAGAAGCAGCUGCGGCUAACUACGUGCCAGCAGCCGCGGUAAUACGUAGGCAGCAAGCGUUGUUCGGAGUUACUGGGCGUAAAGGGUGUGUAGGCGGUUCUCUAACUUUGGUGUGAAAUCUCCCGGCUCAACUGGGAGGGUGCGCCGAAAACUGGGGGGCUAGAGUGCGGGAUGGGA